AGCAUGAUGGCCGAGUGGUUAAGGCGUUGGACUUAAAUUCCAAUGGACAAGCGUCCACGUAGGUUCGAACACCACUCGUGCUA
Octopus bimaculoides (California two-spot octopus) is the source of this 83-nucleotide non-coding RNA. The record is from Rfam. NCBI's taxonomy places the organism in Eukaryota, Metazoa, Mollusca, Cephalopoda, Octopoda, Octopodidae.